CGGGAAGAGCUCAAAUUUAAAAUCUGGCGGGUUAACCGUCCGAGUUGUAGUCUAGAGAAGUAUCAUCUACGCUGGACCAUGUACAAGUCUCUUGGAACAGAGCGUCAUAGAGGGUGAGAAUCCCGUCCUUGACAUGGACUCCCAGUGUUCUGUGUUGUGCUCUC
This 164-nucleotide ribosomal RNA is filed under the name Ceratobasidium sp. RNAcentral describes it as "partial large subunit ribosomal RNA". It matches the Rfam family "Eukaryotic large subunit ribosomal RNA", at positions 99 to 258 of the family's 3401-position model. The record is from RNAcentral. Lineage: Eukaryota; Fungi; Basidiomycota; Agaricomycetes; Cantharellales; Ceratobasidiaceae.